RNAcentral lists this ribosomal RNA (301 nucleotides) under uncultured bacterium. Its description in RNAcentral is "partial 16S ribosomal RNA". It matches the Rfam family "Bacterial small subunit ribosomal RNA", at positions 509 to 807 of the family's 1533-position model. The record is from RNAcentral.
CAGCCGCCGCGGUAAAACGUAGGUGGCAAGCGUUGUCCGGAAUUAUUGGGCGUAAAGGGCUCGCAGGCGGUUUCUUAAGUCUGAUGUGAAAGCCCCCGGCUCAACCGGGGAGGGUCAUUGGAAACUGGGAAACUUGAGUGCUGAAGAGGAGAGUGGAAUUCCACGUGUAGCGGUGAAAUGCGUAGAGAUGUGGAGGAACACCAGUGGCGAAGGCGACUCUCUGGUCUGUAACUGACGCUGAGGAGCGAAAGCGUGGGGAGCGAACAGGAUUAGAUACCCCAGUAGUCCCUGUCUCUUAUAC